This 460-nucleotide ribosomal RNA is filed under the name uncultured bacterium. RNAcentral's name for it is "partial 16S ribosomal RNA". It matches the Rfam family "Bacterial small subunit ribosomal RNA", at positions 338 to 795 of the family's 1533-position model. The record is from RNAcentral.
CCUACGGGAGGCAGCAGUGAGGAAUAUUGGUCAAUGGGCGCGAGCCUGAACCAGCCAAGUAGCGUGAAGGAUGACUGCCCUACGGGUUGUAAACUUCUUUUAUACGGGAAUAAAGUGAGGCACGUGUGCCUUUUUGUAUGUACUUUAUGAAUAAGGACCGGCUAACUCCGUGCCAGCAGCCGCGGUAAUACGGAGGUUCCGGGCGUUAUCCGGAUUUAUUGGGUUUAAAGGGAGCGUAGAUGGGUUGUUAAGUCAGUUGUGAAAGUUUGAGGCUCAACCGUAAAAUUGCAGUUGAUACUGGCGGUCUUGAGUACAGUUGAGGUAGGCGGAAUUCGUGGUGUAGCGGUGAAAUGCUUAGAUAUCACGAAGAACUCCGAUUGCGAAGGCAGCUUACUAAACUGCCACUGACAUUGAUGCUCGAAAGUGUGGGUAUCAAACAGGAUUAGAUACCCUUGUAGUC